RNAcentral lists this ribosomal RNA (443 nucleotides) under uncultured Fastidiosipila sp. Its description in RNAcentral is "bacterial SSU rRNA". It matches the Rfam family "Bacterial small subunit ribosomal RNA", at positions 338 to 795 of the family's 1533-position model. Lineage: Bacteria; Bacillati; Bacillota; Clostridia; Eubacteriales; Oscillospiraceae. The record is from RNAcentral.
CCUACGGGGGGCUGCAGUGGGGAAUAUUGGGCAAUGGGGGAAACCCUGACCCAGCAACGCCGCGUGAAGGAUGAAGGCUUUCGGGUUGUAAACUUCUUUGAUCAGGGACGAAACAAAUGACGGUACCUGAAGAACAAGCCACGGCUAACUACGUGCCAGCAGCCGCGGUAAUACGUAGGUGGCAAGCGUUAUCCGGAUUUACUGGGUGUAAAGGGCGUGUAGGCGGUUCUGCAAGUCGGGUGUGAAAUUUCCGGGCUUAACCCGGACGGGUCACCCGAAACUGCGGAACUUGAGUACUGGAGAGGAAAGUGGAAUUCCUAGUGUAGCGGUAAAAUGCGUAGAUAUUAGGAGGAACACCAGUGGCGAAGGCGGCUAUCUGGACAGUAACUGACGCUGAGGCGCGAAAGCGUGGGGAGCAAACAGGAUUAGAUACCCUGGUAGUC